CGUAUUGACAGAUUAUCUAGUCCAUAAUAUAUACAAGUUGUCAAUAUUGACCGUAUGCAUCUAAUAAUUACAGGAAUUACAUGUAUAACUACAGUAUGCCGAGAACAGAAUCAUUAAGCUUCUGCAUUUGAUUCGUUCUUGAACAUUAAUUACAGCUGAGAAUGAACUUAGAAGUUAGCGAGAAACUGCAUCUGUUUGAGAAGAGGAGUUAAAGCUUGCAUGAGCUUCUCACAAGGAUGGUUAUGGAUUCCCUCAUAAGUCGUGACUACAAUGCUAGUGUCCUUGGAGAGCCUUUGAACUUGCUUCUUGACGUUGCAUGUAUGAUAGGUGCAGCGAUAGUAACUCCUGGG
RNAcentral lists this unclassified non-coding RNA (350 nucleotides) under Hevea brasiliensis (rubber tree). The record is from RNAcentral. Lineage: Eukaryota; Viridiplantae; Streptophyta; Magnoliopsida; Malpighiales; Euphorbiaceae.